Molecule: long non-coding RNA, 3791 nt
Organism: Monodelphis domestica (gray short-tailed opossum)
Lineage: Eukaryota; Metazoa; Chordata; Mammalia; Didelphimorphia; Didelphidae
Source: RefSeq, a predicted model, not a curated record
CCGAGAGCUGGUCCUGCCUAGGCUCCCCAGUUAGUUUAGGGCAGUAUCCUGGGUUUCGUGAUGACACAACUGGGCCCCGGGGCCCUCAGGCGUCCGGACUGAAAAGUCUUUUUGGCCAUGAGACUGCGUAGGGGGGGCGCAAAUAUAUUCUCUUUUCCUCCCCCACGCUUGCAGAAAAAGAGCGGAGAAAGAAAUAAUGUGGGCGUCACCAGGCUCCCAAGGGAUUCCGGAACCUGGACGAAGACUGUGAUUUACUGGAGGUCCUCUGGAGGACAGGAGAAAAGUGCCACAGGCAGAAAAGAGAAGCAGCCCCGGGCGUCUCUAGCCACGCCCCUCUCAUCUAGACAAACUCCUGCUGUCCACAGAUAUUUAACCCGCCCAGUUUAACCUAGCAACCAAGGCCUGGGAAAGCACCUUCUUUGUCUCGUGGAUUCAGGCUUCUGCUCAGUAAACGGAGCGAGGAAGGGAAUCGCUGGGUCUCAGGCCCAAGACAUCCCGAAGUGUGGCCGAGGUGGGGGCGAGGCGGGGCGCAAUGUGCCGGCAUCACUUGGCAACACAGGCCAGGCUGAUGCGGAACCCGCAGCACAUGAGGAGGAGUGAAGACUCUGCCUUACCUGGAGCCAUCCAAGGCUCAGCUUUGCCUGCAUCUCCAGCUCCGGGCCCUUUCCUGGUCUCUGGGGCUCAGUCUGUCCUGUUCACCACCUCAGCUUAGGGAGAUGAGAGCCUAGAGAGAAACCUCUGCAUCCUCAGGAUCGGGUCUGCUCUGGUUCCAACAGUUACUGUUGACUGCAGAGAAACAAGGGCCAGAAAGAGAGAGAGAAACACGGCUGAGGCCAGAGCAUGCAUUUGCCUUCCAGGAGAGACACCAGAAUGCGAGGACCCUGGUAGAGCUGGGGCCUGACACAAGCCUGGGCCCAGCCGGUACACGUGGAUUCCAUAUAAAACAGGUUCUAGGAACUGUGCUGAGCCCUGAGGAUACAAGGAAGGACAAAAGCAGUCUGGGCGGUCCUGGAGCUCCCAAUCUAGUCACCCAACAUGGAGAUGGUUUAAAAAGAAUUGAGAUACUGACUGUGACUGAGAUGAUCCAGGGAGAUGAGUGUUGGGGAAUGGAAAUGAAUUUGAUUCAACAGGGAAAUCAGGAAAUAGAGGAAUGAAGAUGUUUAGGCACUCAAAGGAAAAAAUAAAAGUCUAAAGAAAAGUGAAAGCCACUAUUUGCAUAUGACACCUACCAUGUCAUGUCAUGCACUUUAUAACUAUUAUCUCAUAUAAUCCUCAUAGUGAAGUGGGGCACUUCAUAUAAUGAGUCCAGACUCCCAGAAGUUCAAUUUAAUGGAACCUGUAUUUAUUAAUCUAUUGAAUAAUAAAUGAAUCUACUGGCCAGGGCAAUCUUUCCUGGUGAAAGAUACACUGAACUGAAGUUAUAGACAAUUUUCAUAGGAUUAGAGACGUUCAGGAUACAAGGUACAUACUUUUCCAUAUGGGUUUCUUGGCAAAAGCAAGCAAGCCUAGAAGCAGAUAUGCCAUUGUUGUUAAGUGCAGAAUGUUCAGUACAGUCCAUUGCCAUCAGGGAGUUAUUUCCUCACAUACAUUUAACCAUAUGUUAUUUUGGAUUCCAGCCUGACUUUUUCAUGGGAAUGCAGGUUUCUUGGGAAUGCAAUUUUCUGAUUAAUAAAUUAAUCGACUUCAAUAAGAGCCCUAGGAGUUACUUGACACUGUUAUGUCCAUGUUACAGUUGAGGAGACUGAGACAGACAGAGCUCCUAUGAAUUGCCCAGAUACUUCAUGUGUGACCUUGAGGUAAUCGCUUCAACACUUUGCCUCAGUUUCCUUACCUGUCAAAAGGGCAGGCUAAAAGUAACUACUAUACAGGAUAUUUGUAUUAAAAAAGUUUAAUAAUAUUUGUUAGAGCUCUUAGCACAGUGGUAAAUACCCAAUAGAUAUUAUGAAAAUACGUAUUCCCUCCCAUUCACCUUACUCCACUCAGAUUAAGUCUUUUCUAGAUUAUAAAGUUGAGUUUUAAGAACAAGAGAUUUAUUAGGAGUUUGAUAGCUGAAGAUUGUCUGGAGGAGGGAAAUCAUGAGAGUCAACUAUGUCCAUAAGGAUGUGGCAUUUAAAGAUCAAUAGAAAUAUUCUGGAUCAUUGAGGCUAGAGUGUAGAACAUGGAGAUCUUUAUUUUGUUGAAAGGUUGGCAUGGAAGAGAGGGAGAGACUAUUUGGUCUCAGUGAGCAGAACUAGGAGCAAUGAGGAGAGCCUACAGAGUCUAAGGAUAUGAACUCAAAGAAUACUCUUGGCAAUUAUUCUUCUCCAACAUAUGGAAGGGCUACCUCAGGAUGUAGUUGAUUGCUUCUUAUUGGAGAAUUUUAUCCAAUGUGAGAUAAGCACUUCUUUAUUGAAAUGAGAAGAUUGCUUUUUCUGUUAUAGGUUGGACUGAGGGGACACACUUAUUUGCCUUUCAGUUCUAAGAUUCUAUAAUCCUGUCAUGUUGGCAUAUCCUAAGUACCCAACCUUCUCUGAUGACAGGAGGAGCUCUCACUUUAGUCUGAGGCUUAGUCUCCUAUAUGAACCCAUAUAUAAUCAGAGGUCUUGGAUAGUUCAGAGUCUCUAUUCCCCAACCCCUUAAGGACUCAGUUUUUGUUUUUUGUUUUUUUGUUUUUGUCUCCAGGUAACAUUGAGUGAUGGCACAUCAUAAUGAAAGGUUGGGAGAAUAAAGGCAGGCAAAACAGAGAGGGAGUAAUCCUUGGGAUAGGAGGUAUUUCCUUUUCCCCUUAGAGUUGAGAUGAUGGCAGGGGUUGGAGUUGUCAGGAAGAAAGUGCUGACCCAGAUUUCCACUGAUCCCACACAUCCCUGGGCACACAAAUAUGGAGAAUCAGACACAGAGUGAAUAAAUAUAGCUAAAGCAUGGAGAGACACACAGGUAAGAAAUGUGGGAAAAUUGCCCAAACCCACAGGGGGACCCACGCUCUGAGUCUCCAAGAGAGUCCUUGUCUUCUUGUGAUCUCAUGGCCCCAUUCUCCCCAGAUCUGCUCCCAUACUGGUCCCUCUUGGUGCUAGUUCCCACCAUGCAUGGUGGCUUUGGUUGGAUGUGUGGGAGCUAUAUGUAGUGUUUGCCAGGUGUGUGGAUCUGGCAUGGAGUGCUGGCUGUAUGUUGUUGCCUGCUGCUCUGGAGUGGUAAUUGUUCUGUGUCUCUCCAUUGGUCCUGUGGUUCUGCUGAUCAGAACUCACCCACCACUAGCUCCAUAGUUUCAGACAAUUGUACUGUAUUUCCCCCAGAAUCAGGGGUAGAGAGACCUAUCUGUAAAGUAUUGUUACUUAGCUGUUCAUAGAAGCUGGAUUCAUCUUGGCUUUAGAUUUUAGCAGGGACUUCUUUUUUCUAAAAGAAGCCAAAAAGAGGAAAUUCAGAUACCAAAGAGCACCAGUCAGGAUCACACAAGACCUGGCAGUUUCCAAACUAAAAGACCGCAAGGCCUGGAACAUGAUAUUCAGAAAGGCAAGAGAACUGGAUAUUCAACCAAGAAUCACCUAUCCAUCAAAACUGACCAUAUACUUCCAGGGGAAAGUAUGGGCAUUGAACAAAUUAGAAGAUUUCCAAGUAUUUGUAAAGAAAAGACCAGAACUAAGUGGAAAGUUUGAUAUCCAAACACAAAUAUCAAGUGAAACAUGAAAAGGUAAAUAUGAAAGAGUGGGAAAAGGGGAAAAUUUUUUUUUAUUCAAACUCUCUUCUUUAAGGGCUACAAUUAGGUCAAAUUAUAUAUAUUAAUAAAUGGGGAAAAUGUUAUUUGUAACUCUCAAAAA